GUAAGAUCACAGCUCCUUGUCGCCGUUCCUCAUUUGUGAAGAUGUCACUAGGGAAUUCAUGGAGAGCUAGAGAAGAAUUGACAACUACCAGCUCUUGCUAAAUCAUGCUCUAAAGAAUCAAAAGCCAAGGACCAAACAGGGGAGAAAAAUAACAACAACUUGAAAAAACAACAGGGUAAUCUUGGAAUGGAAGACUCAAAAUGAAGUGAACAGGAGAGUCUAAGAAAAUAGCAGCUUUGAAGAAAACUUGGCCAACUGCCUUCAGUUGCUACUUUAUGCAUAAUACAACAUCUAUCUCUGUGUCCCAAGUGGAUCGGGAUUCAUAAGCAGGUUUGGAAAGGCUCCAAGCCUUAUUUCUUCUGCUUUCGACAUUUACCCCACAUGAAGAAAGUGAAUUUUAGACUGACGGACAUGUGGUUCUAUCUCAGAGGCUCAUUUUCUGGCCUGGCCUUGCCCAGACCCUUGGUCCAAUGAGGGGGAUCACCACCACUUACACAUUGUCUUCCCAAGAAGGAGAUGGUGCUGAAGGCCCCCGUGCUAUUUAAAUUCUGCUGCCAACUAUAGAGACACAACAUGACUGUGCUGAGUCGCACCCCAGAGAGAGCUACAUUUGGAGAACUUUGGUGAAUAAAUACAAGCAGCCGUAUGAAUAAUGAAAGACCAUCAUCGAAGGGAAGACAAAGCCAUUUGUCUCCUCUGAAGCUGACUAUGACCAAAGAAUCAUAUAUUAAUGGGAUUCACUCAAGGCCCCAAAUGGUUAGUGGUAUUAUGCUGUAAAGAUGUG
This is a non-coding RNA of Phascolarctos cinereus (koala), 784 nucleotides long. The record is from RefSeq and is a predicted model, not a curated record. NCBI's taxonomy places the organism in Eukaryota, Metazoa, Chordata, Mammalia, Diprotodontia, Phascolarctidae.